CAAUAGCGUAUAUUAAAGUUGUUGCGGUUAAAAAGCUCGUAGUUGGAUUUCUGUCGAAGACUGCCGGUCCGCUCUAUGAGCGUGUAUCUGGUUAGGCUUUGGCAUCCUCUUGAAGAACGUUGCUGUGCUUAAUUGCAUGGUGCGGAAUUCAAGACUUUUACUUUGAGGAAAUUAGAGUGUUCACGGCAGGCAAGCGCCUUGAAUAUAUUAGCAUGGAAUAAUAAUAUAGGACUUUGGUUCUAUUUUGUUGGUUUCUAGAACUAAAGUAAUGAUUAAUAGGGAUAAUUGGGGGCAUUUGUACUAUCGAGUCAGAGGUGGAAUUCUUGGAUUUCGAUAUGACAAACUACUGCGAAAGCAUUUGCCAAGGAUGUUUUCAUUGAUCAAGAACGAAAGUAUGGGGAUCGAAGACGAUCAGAUACCA
RNAcentral lists this ribosomal RNA (421 nucleotides) under uncultured eukaryote. Its description in RNAcentral is "SSU rRNA". It matches the Rfam family "Eukaryotic small subunit ribosomal RNA", at positions 592 to 1017 of the family's 1831-position model. The record is from RNAcentral.